This 460-nucleotide ribosomal RNA is filed under the name uncultured bacterium. RNAcentral's name for it is "partial 16S ribosomal RNA". It matches the Rfam family "Bacterial small subunit ribosomal RNA", at positions 338 to 795 of the family's 1533-position model. The record is from RNAcentral.
CCUACGGGGGGCAGCAGUGAGGAAUAUUGGUCAAUGGACGAGAGUCUGAACCAGCCAAGUCGCGUGAAGGAUGACUGCCCUAUGGUUUGUAAACUUCUUUUAUAUGGGAAUAAAACGUUCCACGUGUGGGAUUUUGUAUGUACCAUAUGAAUAAGGAUCGGCUAACUCCGUGCCAGCAGCCGCGGUAAUACGGAGGAUCCGAGCGUUAUCCGGAUUUAUUGGGUUUAAAGGGAGCGUAGGUGGAUUGUUAAGUCAGUUGUGAAAGUUUGCGGCUCAACCGGAAAAUUGCAGUUGAAACUGGCAGUCUUGAGUACAGUAGAGGUAGGCGGAAUGCGUGGUGUAGCGGUGAAAUGCUUAGAUAUCACGAAGAACUCCGAUUGCGAAGGCAGUUCACUGGACUGCAACUGACACUGAGGCUCGAAAGUGUGGGUAUCAAACAGGAUUAGAUACCCUAGUAGUC